AACUAUACAACUUACUACUU
RNAcentral lists this microRNA (20 nucleotides) under Ophiophagus hannah (king cobra). RNAcentral describes it as "oha-miR-98-3p". Its record names the gene oha-miR-98-3p. Lineage: Eukaryota; Metazoa; Chordata; Lepidosauria; Squamata; Elapidae. The record is from miRBase by way of RNAcentral.